RNAcentral lists this ribosomal RNA (404 nucleotides) under Actinomycetes bacterium. RNAcentral's name for it is "Actinobacteria bacterium partial 16S ribosomal RNA". It matches the Rfam family "Bacterial small subunit ribosomal RNA", at positions 355 to 776 of the family's 1533-position model. The record is from RNAcentral. Lineage: Bacteria; Bacillati; Actinomycetota; Actinomycetes.
UGGGGAAUAUUGGACAAUGGGCGCAAGCCUGAUCCAGCCAUGCCGCGUGAGUGAUGAAGGCCCUAGGGUUGUAAAGCUCUUUCACCGGUGAAGAUAAUGACGGUAACCGGAGAAGAAGCCCCGGCUAACUUCGUGCCAGCAGCCGCGGUAAUACGAAGGGGGCUAGCGUUGUUCGGAUUUACUGGGCGUAAAGCGCACGGAGGCGGACUUUUAAGUUAGGGGUGAAAUCCCGGGGCUCAACCCCGGAACUGCCUUUGAUACUGGAAGUCUUGAGUAUGGUAGAGGUGAGUGGAAUUCCGAGUGUAGAGGUGAAAUUCGUAGAUAUUCGGAGGAACACCAGUGGCGAAGGCGGCUCACUGGACCAUUACUGACGCUGAGGUGCGAAAGCGUGGGGAGCAAACAGG